GGGCGCAAGCCUGAUGCAGCCAUGCCGCGUGUAUGAAGAAGGCCUUCGGGUUGUAAAGUACUUUCAGCGGGGAGGAAGGGAGUAAAGUUAAUACCUUUACUCAUUGACGUUACCCGCAGAAGAAGCACCGGCUAACUCCGUGCCAGCAGCCGCGGUAAUACGGAGGGUGCAAGCGUUAAUCGGAAUUACUGGGCGUAAAGCGCACGCAGGCGGUUUGUUAAGUCAGAUGUGAAAUCCCCGGGCUCAACCUGGGAACUGCAUCUGAUACUGGCAAGCUUGAGUCUCGUAGAGGGGGGUAGAAUUCCAGGUGUAGCGGUGAAAUGCGUAGAGAUCUGGAGGAAUACC
RNAcentral lists this ribosomal RNA (345 nucleotides) under uncultured bacterium. RNAcentral's name for it is "bacterial SSU rRNA". It matches the Rfam family "Bacterial small subunit ribosomal RNA", at positions 373 to 710 of the family's 1533-position model. The record is from RNAcentral.